RNAcentral lists this ribosomal RNA (1371 nucleotides) under uncultured bacterium. RNAcentral's name for it is "bacterial SSU rRNA". It matches the Rfam family "Bacterial small subunit ribosomal RNA", at positions 28 to 1381 of the family's 1533-position model. The record is from RNAcentral.
GAUGAACGCUGGCGGCGUGCCUAAUACAUGCAAGUCGAGCGAACGGACGAGAAGCUUGCUUCUCUGAUGUUAGCGGCGGACGGGUGAGUAACACGUGGAUAACCUACCUAUAAGACUGGGAUAACUUCGGGAAACCGGAGCUAAUACCGGAUAAUAUUUUGAACCGCAUGGUUCAAAAGUGAAAGACGGUCUUGCUGUCACUUAUAGAUGGAUCCGCGCUGCAUUAGCUAGUUGGUAAGGUAACGGCUUACCAAGGCAACGAUGCAUAGCCGACCUGAGAGGGUGAUCGGCCACACUGGAACUGAGACACGGUCCAGACUCCUACGGGAGGCAGCAGUAGGGAAUCUUCCGCAAUGGGCGAAAGCCUGACGGAGCAACGCCGCGUGAGUGAUGAAGGUCUUCGGAUCGUAAAACUCUGUUAUUAGGGAAGAACAUAUGUGUAAGUAACUGUGCACAUCUUGACGGUACCUAAUCAGAAAGCCACGGCUAACUACGUGCCAGCAGCCGCGGUAAUACGUAGGUGGCAAGCGUUAUCCGGAAUUAUUGGGCGUAAAGCGCGCGUAGGCGGUUUUUUAGUCUGAUGUGAAAGCCCACGGCUCACCCGUGGAGGGUCAUUGGAAACUGGAAAACUUGAGUGCAGAAGAGGAAAGUGGAAUUCCAUGUGUAGCGGUGAAAUGCGCAGAGAUAUGGAGGAACACCAGUGGCGAAGGCGACUUUCUGGUCUGUAACUGACGCUGAUGUGCGAAAGCGUGGGGAUCAAACAGGAUUAGAUACCCUGGUAGUCCACGCCGUAAACGAUGAGUGCUAAGUGUUAGGGGGUUUCCGCCCCUUAGUGCUGCAGCUAACGCAUUAAGCACUCCGCCUGGGGAGUACGACCGCAAGGUUGAAACUCAAAGGAAUUGACGGGGACCCGCACAAGCGGUGGAGCAUGUGGUUUAAUUCGAAGCAACGCGAAGAACCUUACCAAAUCUUGACAUCCUUUGACAACUCUAGAGAUAGAGCUUUCCCCUUCGGGGGGCAAAGUGACAGGUGGUGCAUGGUUGUCGUCAGCUCGUGUCGUGAGAUGUUGGGUUAAGUCCCGCAACGAGCGCAACCCUUAAGCUUAGUUGCCAUCAUUAAGUUGGGCACUCUAAGUUGACUGCCGGUGACAAACCGGAGGAAGGUGGGGAUGACGUCAAAUCAUCAUGCCCCUUAUGAUUUGGGCUACACACGUGCUACAAUGGACAAUACAAAGGGCAGCGAAACCGUGAGGUCAAGCAAAUCCCAUAAAGUUGUUCUCAGUUCGGAUUGUAGUCUGCAACUCGACUACAUGAAGCUGGAAUCGCUAGUAAUCGUAGAUCAGCAUGCUACGGUGAAUACGUUCCCGGGUCU